ACAAGCAGUGGAGUAUGUGGUUUAAUUCGAUGAUACGCGAGGAACCUUACCCGGGCUUGAAAUGCAUCUGACGUAGGCAGAGACGUCUAUUCCCUUCGGGGCAGAUGUGUAGGUGCUGCAUGGUUGUCGUCAGCUCGUGCCGUGAGGUGUCGGCUUAAGUGCCAUAACGAGCGCAACCCUCAUCAUUAGUUACCAACAGGUCAAGCUGGGGACUCUAGUGAGACUGCCAUCGUAAGAUGUGAGGAAGGUGGGGAUGACGUCAAAUCAGCACGGCCCUUACGUCCGGGGCGACACACGUGUUACAAUGGGUGGUACAAAGGGCAGCUACCUGGCGACAGGAUGCUAAUCUCGAAAACCACUCUCAGUUCGGAUCGGAGUCUGCAACUCGACUCCGUGAAGCUGGAUUCGCUAGUAAUCGCGCAUCAGCCAUGGCGCGGUGAAUACGUUCCCGGGCCUU
RNAcentral lists this ribosomal RNA (457 nucleotides) under uncultured Proteiniphilum sp. RNAcentral's name for it is "bacterial SSU rRNA". It matches the Rfam family "Bacterial small subunit ribosomal RNA", at positions 925 to 1382 of the family's 1533-position model. Lineage: Bacteria; Pseudomonadati; Bacteroidota; Bacteroidia; Bacteroidales; Dysgonomonadaceae. The record is from RNAcentral.